GAUGAAGAACGUAGCGAAAUGCGAUACGUAAUGUGAAUUGCAGAAUUCAGUGAAUCAUCGAAUCUUUGAACGCAUAUUGCGCUCUCUGGUAUUCCGGAGAGCAUGCUUGUUUGAGUAUCAGUAAACACCUCAACUUCCAUAUCUUUUUUUGAAAUGGGAGUUGGACUUGAGUGAUCCCAACGCUUUUCCUCACCGAAAAGUGGCGGGUUACUUGAAAUGCAGGUGCAGCUGGACUUUUCUCUGAGCUAUAAGCAUAUCUAUUUAGUCUGCCUAAAAAACAGAUUAUUACCUUUGCUGCAGCUAACAUAAGGAGAUUAGUUCUUGUGCUGACUGAUGCAGGAUUCACAAAGACAGCUUCGGCCGACUUUGUAAACUCGAUCUCAAAUCAAGUAAGACUACCCGCUGAACUUAAGCAUAUCAAUAAGCGGAGGA
This 432-nucleotide unclassified non-coding RNA is filed under the name soil metagenome. Its description in RNAcentral is "partial contains 5.8S ribosomal RNA, internal transcribed spacer 2, and large subunit ribosomal RNA". The stretch from base 1 to 120 matches the Rfam family "5.8S ribosomal RNA", at positions 35 to 154 of the family's 154-position model. The record is from RNAcentral.